GACGAACGCUGGCGGCGUGGAUUAGGCAUGCAAGUCGAACGGUAUCAUCCUUUCGGGGGUGAGAGAGUGGCGAACUGGUGAGUAACACGUAGGUUAUCUACCCUCAAGACGGGGACAACCCAGGGAAACUUGGGCUAAUACCGGAUGUGAGCAACUUUUAGUUGUUUGAAAGGUGGCGUAAGCUGUCGCUUGGGGAUGAGCCUGCGUCCUAUUAGUUAGUUGGUGAGGUAACGGCUCACCUAGGCAAUGAUAGGUAGGCGGCCUUAACGGGUGGUCGCCCACACUGGGAUUGAGAUACGGCCCAGACUCCUACGGGAGGCAGCAGUCGAGAAUAGUCUACAAUGGUCGGAAGACUGAUAGUGCGACGCCGCGUGAACGAUGAAUCCCUUCGGGGUGUAAAGUUCUUUUAUAUGUGAGCAGUGCUUCUUAUAUUAACAGUAUGGGGAGGAGAUAUUAGCAUAUGAAUAAGCAACGGCUAACUCCGUGCCAGCAGCCGCGGU
Molecule: ribosomal RNA, 500 nt
Filed under: uncultured bacterium
Lineage: Bacteria
Description: bacterial SSU rRNA
Rfam family: Bacterial small subunit ribosomal RNA
Source: RNAcentral